RNAcentral lists this ribosomal RNA (253 nucleotides) under uncultured bacterium. Its description in RNAcentral is "partial 16S ribosomal RNA". It matches the Rfam family "Bacterial small subunit ribosomal RNA", at positions 524 to 776 of the family's 1533-position model. The record is from RNAcentral.
UACGGAGGGUCCAAGCGUUAUCCGGAAUCAUUGGGUUUAAAGGGUCCGUAGGCGGUUUAGUAAGUCAGUGGUGAAAGCCCAUCGCUCAACGGUGGAACGGCCAUUGAUACUGCUAAACUUGAAUUAUUGGGAAGUAACUAGAAUAUGUAGUGUAGCGGUGAAAUGCUUAGAGAUUACAUGGAAUACCAAUUGCGAAGGCAGGUUACUACCAAUAUAUUGACGCUGAUGGACGAAAGCGUGGGGAGCAAACAGG